This 4004-nucleotide long non-coding RNA is filed under the name Marmota monax (woodchuck). Lineage: Eukaryota; Metazoa; Chordata; Mammalia; Rodentia; Sciuridae. The record is from RNAcentral.
GAAAUUCUCAUCUCUAGGAGGGGACUGGUCAGCCCUGAUCAUCAAAACUAAAUCGAGGGAUCAGGGAGGGGACAGGCCAGGAGAUGUUCCUACUGGGGCACAGCUGGAGACUCUAUUUCAAAGACAGGCAGGGUUUGCCCCUCCUCUCCUUAAAUCCGCAUCUAAUCCUGGAGCCCGAGAACUGUCCUGUGGAUUCCCCUGGCAGCUUCAAGGUAAAAGAGGGCUAUAUUUCCAUUAUUUUUGCUCCAGUGACUUUCAAUAUUCAGGAGACAGGGUACAUUAAUUUGAAAGCUGUGCUGGUCAAGAGCACAGGCGGGUUCUGCCACACCUUAAUAAAAAGAACAACAACAUAGAUGCUUCUCAUCCGAGAAGGUGGCUGAAGGGACAGUGUCAAUACUGGUGUCUUCUGCCCAUUCCUUCGUUCCACAGGUGAAAUCCUGGGCAGGGGAGUAGGAGCAGACAGUCAUUGUUUCUAAAAAUUUUAGGGUAAAAUUUAUCAGCAACCAAUGCAAAAGGAAAGAGUCAUCAGGCAUGAGCCCGUUCUAGUCCUCUCACCCAGCGGCAAAAUGACUAAGAGAUGGCUUCCAAGGAAUAAGUGUAAAAGGUUUUGCAAAACUGAAGUUUCAUUUGCCACAUAAGGCUAUUUAAAAAUCUUGAAGCACCCCAAGCAUUCCGAGAUCAGAGCCUCCCUCUCCUAAUUACAUCCAGCAUGAAAAGGCACAAACAGCCUACUCUUAAAUUAUAAUCCGUCACCCUAUGUCUUGUGUUGGACUGCAGUUGGGUGGGUGACAUCACAAAGUGUUGUUGCUAUUAGACAUUGUUCAUAAUCACACAAAAUCUGCAUAUUGUGAUGCCAAUAGUUUGGGAGUUUCACUUUGUUGUUGUUUAUUUCGUGAUUGCUUCCCAACCCUCAGACAUACCCAGGAGACUUAGAAAGACUCUGAAACCCAGGCCUUCUGCCUAACAUGCAGUAUCAGAAACAGCCCUACCUACUGUGAACUAUAAAAAGAUUAUUCAAUUAAAUUAAUCUGACCUUGGAGAUACUCAUACCUAAAAUGAUUAUAACCCUGAAGACAUUGCUGUUUGCCUGACACAUUUUUCAUAGGCUUUUAAAAAUUCAGUUGUUUGGGGGCUAGAGAUAAAGCUCAGUUGGUAGAGUGCUUUCCUCACAUGCAGAAGGCCCUGGGUUCAAGCCCCAGCACCACAAGAAAAAAAAGAAAAAGAAAUUUUAGUUGUUUGGAUCAAGAAAUUAAUAGUUGGUUUUGAAUAGUUUGGCCACAUCAGCAUACACAUAGCUACCAGAUGUAGAAUUCCAGGUUGGGUUGAUGUGCCAGAGUUCACAGUUCUGUUAUGUGGGAUUGCACUUAAUCACCUCCACCCCUCUCAAAUUCUGUGAAAAUAUAUUAAAACACUUUAUGCUAAAAAAAAAAAAAAAACUAAAACAGUAAACUCUUAUUCGAUCAUUAUUUCACUUGGGGUGGGGAAACUCAUUUGGAAAAUAACUUUGAAGAAAACUUUGCUUGCUAUUAAGUGCCUCCAACCACAGAGCUUGCUCCUGUCCCACAAACUGAGAAUUCUCUUCUGCCAUCUGCUCAGAGCUUAGCCCAUCCUCUAAAAUAGCACAGAUGCCACAGAAACACCUUUUAAGCUCAAACACAAUUGCAAAAAUAAGAUUUAGAAUUUUAACACUGCCACGGUCCUUGAUUCUAGGAUCCCUGAAUCAGUUCUAGUUCUUUUGUAUCUAUUUUCAGUGUUUUUUAAAACCACAAUUGACUACAUUUUGUCUGCAUUGGGAGCUGCUUAUGAAUCCAAGCUGGCAGCUUUUGGCAAUUCCUGUGUCUAGAUUCUAGAUAAUGCAUGUUUCCCCACAUACCAGCUAAGGGGUUUUCAUGGGCACAUUGAAGAGGCCCCUAGAUACAGGUAGAUACUGAGGGAAAUGUGAGACAGGGAGGUUGUCCAUGUUUCAGCCAUGUUUUAGUGCUGGUACUUUUGUCUUUCUCAUUUUCUCUCUCUCUCUCUCUUCUUUCCCCCCCGCCCUUGGAAUAGAACCUAGGGUCCUGCACAAGCUAGGCAAGUUAGGCAAGUGCUCUCUACCACUGAGCUACAGCCUUAGCCCUUCCUUUUCCUUCUUAUCCCUCGCCCACCUCUGAUAACCAGCAAGCAGAAGCUAUAACCUCUGCAGUAGGUGUUGGUCCCCACUGGGGACAGGAGGGAAUUCCAUUUGCUUAAACUCACACCAGGCAACCAACCGUAAGGCACUCUCUCUACUCUGUAUAGUUUAUCCUCCACCAAUAGGGAAAUACUGUCCUUACAAGGCCAUGUUUGAGGAGACUGAGGUUUGGCUAGUAAAAGAGGCUUGCAUUGCAAAGAGCUGAAUAAUAGCAGACUCUUGACUCUGCACUGUGAGCCUCAGUCAUGAUUGGGCAGAAGUAACUGAUCUCCUAAAAAACCAAGCCAGCAAAAAUGUUUAGAAACUAAUUCCACUGAAACUCUCAUAUCACUAAAUCACACUACUGUAGUUCCAGUUAAUCCAACUAUUUAAUAUCAUUAGGCACUAAAUUAAAUAGCUUUAUACAAAAUUUUAGAAAAGAUCAAUAUUGUAACAAAAUUACAUAUUAGCAGUAAAAAGCACCUGAGAAAAGAAAAUAUUGAUCUGUUGUGGUUUAUAUACUUGAGUUAUUCUUAGGACUUUGUAGGGAUUGGCACUGCUCUGAUAAGGGCAAUAAAAUGGUCCGAAUUUGAGAACGCUGGACUAACGGAAAUUGCCCAGUCUCCCUGGGCCUCCACUUGUCUGGGAUGCUCUGUCCCUGCUCAGCAGACCAGGUUAUUUGGAGACUAAAUGGAGCUGACGAGAGAAGCUAUCCCACUCCACCAAUGCAUGCAGAAUUAUCAUGGCAAGCUGGAUUAUGGGCUUUAUUUAAUGACAUCUUUCCUAACAUGAGGUUUUUCUCCUCAAAGCUUGUAUUUCUGGGAUUUAGAAAGGAAAAAGAAAUAAUGAUGCGAAAGUAACAAUCACCAUUUUACAUACACACAUAUGCUUUUUCCAGUAUUUGGGAGCCAGUCUGUAGAGCCCAUUCCAAGGUGUCCCUUCAUCUCCACCUCUCCACCUCCCAAAGGCUCAGAGCACCAGGACCCAGGGAGAGUCCCCCAUGAGAGUAUGAAGUUGACUAGCUGAGGGCCAUGGGAUGGAGAGACAGACACCAAGCUUCCUCCAGGAGGAGAAACUGCGUAUUGUGAAUUAGUAUUCAUUUGAGGAGAGCAAGAGGAAGGAAAAAAAAAACACAAUGUGAAUUAAAUAUAAGACCAAUGCAUUCCUUACAGAAUAUGAGGAGGGAAUCUGACUAAAAAAAAAAAAAAAGAAAACCUGGUUCAUUCUUUUCAAACUAACCUGGCUAAAAAGCACAUUUCAUAACACAGAAGCCUGUGUAGAUGGUAGACAUUUUUAUAGCUUCCUUAAGUGAGCAGUUAAAUGAGAAGUCUGAGUUCUGUUGGUCUCCCAAGAGUGGUUAAUGAAAUAAGCAUUUCCCUUAUUCAUUGCCCGCACUGUAGUGCUUUUCUCUCUCUAUGCACCCUAGGAAGACUCCCACACCCAGACUUAGGAGGACACAACCAAGUUAUCGGCCAAACAAGAGUGCCUUCUCUGUUGGAUGUUCACAUUCAUUCCCUGGAUUCCCAGGGCCUAAGAUGUUUAGAAUCUUUUUUUCUCUAAACAUAAGAAUUAUUGUGCACCACAAUUUUGAACCACUGAUUUCUGUAUCUUAAGCAGCUAUCAACUUGCCAAUUCCCUUUGGGUCUUCUUUCUAUUUUCUUAUAAUAUUUCCUUCUGUUUUGGGUUUUCCUCAAGAAGAACUGGGGGCAUGAUUCUUUUUAAAUUGAUAAAAAUGAAACUGUACAGAUUUUUGCCCCCUUGUAUCCGUGAGCAUGAUCUCUAUCAGGCUUGAAAAUCUGCUUUAUCAUUUUGUAUAUUUGACUAUUUUGUAUUCAGCAUUACUUGACUCCUUAUA